This 935-nucleotide long non-coding RNA is filed under the name Monodelphis domestica (gray short-tailed opossum). RNAcentral describes it as "lncRNA (ENSMODG00000043983.1)". Lineage: Eukaryota; Metazoa; Chordata; Mammalia; Didelphimorphia; Didelphidae. The record is from RNAcentral.
UGUUUUUUCAAAAAAGGCGAAAGCCCACUUGAAAGAUAAUGACGGUUAAUAGAGUAGCAUUUCACGGACUUCAAAGGCAAGGAAUGAAGGUUGUUUUGCUGACUGUGAUGGGAGAGUCUGAGACAUCAAAGAGAGAAGAUGCAAUAGACAGUAUACAAAGUUUGGUCACUGGGAAGGAAAGAAGAUUGAGAAGACUGGCUUCCACAAGUCCUCUUGAGAGAGACGGUCCCAGACAACAUAGACUAUAAGCAGAAUCUGGAGCUGUAUUGCAUCGGUGUCUAUCUCCCUUGAGAUCUGGAAACUCCAGGGUGCAGUCUCAGUUUCAUCCCUCUUCCCAUUUUCAGAAACAGACCAAAAGUUCUUCUCAUAGUGGUUUACACAACAACAAUGCAUGGACCCUGGUUGGGCAGAAUGAAACAUCAAGGAGAUUUUCAAAGUCACAAGCUAACAGUGGACAACUCUGAUUAACUCCUGAUUUUAGGAGUUCUGCAGCCCUCCUCAAGCUUUAUGCCUAAAGCUCACAUACUUCACAUUCAGAGCCCCACAAGAACUCCAGAACUUGUGUCUAGGUUAACUCCAGAUCAACAGGGCCCCAGGCAUUUCUGCCCCAGCUUUUUCUGUUACUGUGCUAAUUGCUCUCAAUGGAAGUAUCUGGGAGUGAGAAGGGUCCCAGCUGCUGCCUGAAGGAUUCUGCUGGGACUGCUCCCUUCUUUCCCUCCCUGCACCUUCCCUGCCUCCUCCGCCACACCCUCAUGGCUUGGGAUUCCAUUAUGGGAACAUCUUUUUUGUGAUUGAUUACUUCCUUUUUAGCUGCUGCCCAUGUCCCCUUAACCCUAUGAACUGAAGCUAUUGACACUAGAGUUGUGUAGUGAAAUCUCCACCUUCUGAAUCAAGUAUAAAAAUGCCAAAUAAAAAGCUCUUUUUGUAUCUGGGCA